CUGGUAUUUCAAUGUUGACUCCAUAAAAACUUGCGUUUUUACUUCAUGGUCUCCCAGCUAUUCUACACAAAUAAUACCCACUUUCAAUAUGAAGCUAUAGUAAAGGUUCACGGGGUCUUUCCGUCUAGCCGCGGGAAUACUGCAUCUUCACAGCAAUUUCAAUUUCACUGAGUCUCGGAUGGAGACAGUGUGGCCAUCAUUACGCCAUUCGUGCAGGUCGGAACUUACCCGACAAGGAAUUUCGCUACCUUAGGACCGUUAUAGUUACGGCCGCCGUUUACUGGGGCUUCAAUUCAAUGCUUGCACAUCUCCUCUUAACCUUCCAGCACCGGGCAGGCGUCACACCCUAUACGUCCGCUUACGCGUUAGCAGAGUGCUGUGUUUUUAAUAAACAGUUGCAGCCACCUGGUAUCUGAGACCGAUUCUUGCUUUCCCUGUUUAUAGGUUAUACAAUAAUUCGGCGCACCUUCUCCCGAAGUUACGGUGCCAUUUUGCCUAGUUCCUUCACCCGAGUUCUCUCAAACGCCUUAGUAUACUCUACCUAACCACCUGUGUCGGUUUAUGGUACGGUCAUAUGUAAUCUGAAGCUUAGAGGCUUUUCCUGGAAGCAUGACAUCAACGACUUUUCGUCUCAUACCUUAGUUUUCUUAAGAAAUCGGAUUUACCUAAUUUCUAAACCUACAUACUUUCACCCAGACUACCAACGCUGGGCUCGUCUAGCCUUCUCCGUCCCCCCAUCGCAAUUACAUAUGGUACGGGAAUAUUAACCCGUUUUCCAUCGAUUACGCUUUUCAGCCUCACCUUAGGACCGACUAACUCUGCUCCGAUUACCGUUGAACAGAAACCCUUAGUUUUCGGCGGGGAUGUUUCUCACAUCCCUUAUCGUUACUCAUGUCAGCAUUCGCACUUGUGAUAUCUCCAGCAUAUUUUACAAUAUACCUUCACAGACUUACACAACGCUCCUCUACCGCUUAUAUUUAUUAAUAUAUAAGCCCGUAGCUUCGGCACUUAGUUUUAGCCCCGUUAUAUUUUCCGCGCAGGUGAACUAGACUAGUGAGCUAUUACGCUUUCUUUAAAGGAUGGCUGCUUCUAAGCCAACCUCCUAGCUGUCUUAGUCUUCCCACCUCGUUUUCCACUUAACUAAGAUUUUGGGACCUUAUCUGACGGUCUGGGUUCUUUCCCUUUCCACCAUGGAUGUUAGCACCCAUAGUGUGUCUCCUAUGCUGCACUCAUUGGUAUUCGUAGUUUGCAUCGGUUUAGUAAGUCUA
This 1268-nucleotide ribosomal RNA is filed under the name Candidatus Portiera aleyrodidarum (primary endosymbiont of Bemisia tabaci). RNAcentral describes it as "partial 23S ribosomal RNA". Lineage: Bacteria; Pseudomonadati; Pseudomonadota; Gammaproteobacteria; Johnevansiales (SeqCode); Johnevansiaceae (SeqCode). The record is from RNAcentral.